Molecule: RNA transcript, 1369 nt
Organism: Mus pahari (shrew mouse)
Lineage: Eukaryota; Metazoa; Chordata; Mammalia; Rodentia; Muridae
Gene name: protein unc-13 homolog B pseudogene
Exons: 1
Source: RefSeq, a predicted model, not a curated record
UGGUCGCUCACGCUUCGCAGCUAUGGCGCCUCGGGGCCGCGCCCAGUCUCCAGUUUGCCGGCGGAGCCUCAGCUCUUUCCUCCGCUCACUCCGACCUUGAGAACCCGGGCGGCUCCGAGGGAGCGGGGAACGAGGCGGGCGCCGGGGACCAUGAGGAGCGGCCGGACCCGCGAGGCGGACAGCGGAGGGUGGCGCGGCACCUGCUGAGAGAAAAGAGGGAGCGGCCUGGCUCCGCGCCGCCGAGGUGAGGCGGAGGCUGGUCCGCGCCUCGGCCAUGUCGCUGCUCUGCGUGCGUGUUAAAAGAGCCAAAUUCCAGGGUUCACCAGAUAAAUUUAACACAUACAUGACCCUGAAAGUCCAGAACGUGAAGAGCACAACUGUAGCAGUCCGUGGUGACCAGCCUUCCUGGGAGCAGGAUUUCAUGUUUGAGAUCAGUCGCCUGGACCUGGGCCUAAGUGUGGAGGUGUGGAACAAAGGACUGAUAUGGGACACAAUGGUGGGCACCGUGUGGAUUGCACUGAAGACAAUCUGUCAGUCAGAUGAGGAAGGGCCUGGGGAGUGGUCUACACUGGAGGCAGAGACAUUAAUGAAAGAUGAUGAGAUCUGUGGAACUAAAAACCUAACUCCUCAUAAAAUCUUGCUUGAUACAAGAUUUGAGCUGCCUUUUGACAUCCCAGAGGAGGAAGCCAGAUAUUGGACCUACAAAUUGGAACAAAUCAAUGCCUUGACAGAUGAUAAUGAGUAUUCUAGUCAAGAAGAAAGCCAGAGGAAGCCAUUGCCCACUGCUGCCGCCCAGUGUUCCUUUGAAGACCCUGAUAAUGCCGUCGAUGACCGGGACAGUGACUACCUCAGUGAGACCAGCAAUAGUGCCCCGCCUCCUUACCACACAACUACCCAGCCCAACGCUUCUGUGCACCAGUUCCCUGUGCCUAUCCGACUGCCACAGCAGCUCUUUCUUCAAGGCAGUUCCCAUGACUCUUGCAAUGACUCUAUGCAGAGUUACGACCUUGAUUAUCCAGAGCGUCGGGCCCUCAGGUUGGUAUUGAUCCAGGUCCCAUGAUGGCAACUGACAGGAUCCUGGUGAUAUGACGGGCCUUGGUGUCUUUCUCACAUGCUUAUGUUUAGACGUUUCCAGUGGCAAUACUUGUCUUUGUGAGCCUGUCGGUGAAGACAUGCCCACCUGGGUGAGCAGCUGAACAAAACCUGCUCCUUCUACCUCAUCUCUUCUCUGCAUCAGUAAUUUUUACAAACAAUUUACUAAAAUCAGAAGUUCAUAAGAAAACCAAUAUAAUCUUAUUACAGCAGAUUUGGUAUUUUUGCUGGAACUUUAAUUCAUUUUAGUAUUUCUUUUCAAUACAUAAUAUUUAUA